ACCCGCACAAGCAGUGGAGUAUGUGGUUUAAUUCGAAGCAACGCGAAGAACCUUACCAGGUCUUGACAUCCAACUAACGAAGCAGAGAUGCAUCAGGUGCCCUUCGGGGAAAGUUGAGACAGGUGGUGCAUGGUUGUCGUCAGCUCGUGUCGUGAGAUGUUGGGUUAAGUCCCGCAACGAGCGCAACCCUUGACUUUAGUUGCCAGCAGGUGAAGCUGGGCACUCUAGAGUGACUGCCGGUGACAAACCGGAGGAAGGUGGGGAUGACGUCAAAUCAUCAUGCCCCUUAUGACCUGGGCUACACACGUACUACAAUGGCCGGUACAACGGGAAGCGAAGCCGCGAGGUGGAGCCAAUCCCAGCAAAGCCGGUCUCAGUUCGGAUUGCAGGCUGCAACUCGCCUGCAUGAAGUCGGAAUUGCUAGUAAUCGCGGAUCAGCAUGCCGCGGUGAAUACGUUCCCGGGUCUUGUACACAC
RNAcentral lists this ribosomal RNA (476 nucleotides) under Paenibacillus sp. J3-94. RNAcentral's name for it is "bacterial SSU rRNA". It matches the Rfam family "Bacterial small subunit ribosomal RNA", at positions 919 to 1390 of the family's 1533-position model. Lineage: Bacteria; Bacillati; Bacillota; Bacilli; Caryophanales; Paenibacillaceae. The record is from RNAcentral.